RNAcentral lists this small RNA (148 nucleotides) under Pongo abelii (Sumatran orangutan). Its description in RNAcentral is "Metazoan signal recognition particle RNA (ENSPPYG00000033950.1)". It matches the Rfam family "Metazoan signal recognition particle RNA". Rfam says of the family: The signal recognition particle (SRP) is a universally conserved ribonucleoprotein. It is involved in the co-translational targeting of proteins to membranes. The record is from Rfam by way of RNAcentral. Lineage: Eukaryota; Metazoa; Chordata; Mammalia; Primates; Hominidae.
GCCGGGUGUGCUGGUGCGCACCUGUAAUCCCAGCUACUCAGGAGGCUGAGACAGGAGAAUCGCUUGAACCCGGGAGGUGGAGGUUGCAGUGAGCCAAAAUUGUGCCAUUGUACUCCAGCCUGGGUGACAGAGCGAGACUCUGUCUCAA